GGAGAGGUGGCUCAGUGGUUAAGAGCACUGACUGCUCUUCCAGAGGUCCUGAGUUCAAUUCCCAGCACCCACA
RNAcentral lists this transfer RNA (73 nucleotides) under Mus musculus (house mouse). RNAcentral describes it as "tRNA-Ser". The record is from RNAcentral. Lineage: Eukaryota; Metazoa; Chordata; Mammalia; Rodentia; Muridae.